ACGAACGCUGGCGGCGUGCCUAAUACAUGCAAGUAGAACGCUGAAGGAGGAGCUUGCUUCUCUGGAUGUGUUGCGAACGGGUGAGUAACGCGUAGGUAACCUGCCUGGUAGCGGGGGAUAACUAUUGGAAACGAUAGCUAAUACCGCAUAAUAGUAGAUGUUGCAUGACAUUUGCCUAAAAGGUGCAAUUGCAUCACUACCAGAUGGACCUGCGUUGUAUUAGCUAGUUGGUGGGGUAACGGCUCACCAAGGCGACGAUACAUAGCCGACCUGAGAGGGUGAUCGGCCACACUGGGACUGAGACACGGCCCAGACUCCUACGGGAGGCAGCAGUAGGGAAUCUUCGGCAAUGGACGGAAGUCUGACCGAGCAACGCCGCGUGAGUGAAGAAGGUUUUCGGAUCGUAAAGCUCUGUUGUAAGAGAAGAACGAGUGUGAGAGUGGAAAGUUCACACUGUGACGGUAUCUUACCAGAAAGGGACGGCUAACUACGUG
Molecule: ribosomal RNA, 494 nt
Filed under: uncultured bacterium
Lineage: Bacteria
Description: partial 16S ribosomal RNA
Rfam family: Bacterial small subunit ribosomal RNA
Source: RNAcentral